GGGAAAGUCUACCUGGCAGUGCCCCUUUCUCACAGUGGAGUCACGGUGCUGGACAGAUACAUCUUGUGGAGGAAGGAAAGGGGACUCCUGUGUCUUCAGCUACUUAGUGGACAGGUGAAUAAAAAGAACCGGCAAGAUCAGUGACAUGCUUUAAAAGUCAACACCAGAGGCAGUGGGCUUUAUGGAUAAAAGAAUGAGCCUUGGCUGCUGGGAGGAUUUUACAAUGCUCCAGGCAAGAGAUGGGACAAGAGAAACUGAGAACCAAGACGAGUUACCACAAGUGCUGCUGUCAAAGGGAAGCAACGACCAAGACCAUGCUGCCAGCGGUAGAACGAAGUUGGAACUACCGUCUCUUCCCACUUCUAAAGUCCACACGCUUUCUGAAGCAUGUUUCUGUGGGUGUCGCGUAUGUGCUUGCGGGAGGAAUGUAGGCUCGGUCCCCUCACUCUUCCACACGUCAGCCCUUAAGCUAUUUGCAAUAAUUGUCUCCCCUCCUUUCGUGGCCCUGACUCUGACUUCAUCCCCCUCACAUGUCUGUUGCCAUCAGACACAAGCUCUUUCUCCUUUAAAUUUCUGGAUCAUGUUUUUUUGCAAGUUUUAAUUCAAUAAUGUGCCACCCCUUAGAAUGGGCUGCGCAGGACCAAACCCAAUAUUUUCAGUGCACCCCCCCCCCAGUGAGUAUCUGUAACUUCCUCUGCCCUUGGUUUCAAUACAAGGCCCUAGAAGUUUCAUUUGUCAUUUUAUUACUGUCUCCCCUAUACUGACCAGCGGUUUGCUAUUGGAUUGUCAGUUAACAUCUGAUGGCUCAGAAUAGACAGUGUGGCAUCUUGACACAAUCCACCAUGAUCCUAAAUGCUUUUGUGUGUGUGUGUGUGUGUGUGUGUGUGUGUGUGUGUGUGUGUGUGUGAUGGUGGAUGUACCAGACACUUGUUAUUUCUCAUCCACCGAAACUUCUGGUAAUAGUACUUUGUUAAUGCUGUUAUGUUUUUGUCUAGUCUCUGUACUGCAAACCAGCUGGAUUAAACCAGGGAGUUCCAGGAGCAGAGUUCAUGGCCUAGCAUUAUCUGCUCACACUCUCACAUCGUGGUGAUGUCUGAGCUGCAGAGUAGGCCACUAAUGAUACCUACCAGUCAGCCACUGUCCUAGGAAUGCUAGGUAACAAGCAGUGCCAAAACUUAGCGGCU
Molecule: long non-coding RNA, 1184 nt
Organism: Alexandromys fortis (reed vole)
Lineage: Eukaryota; Metazoa; Chordata; Mammalia; Rodentia; Cricetidae
Exons: 3
Source: RefSeq, a predicted model, not a curated record